Molecule: long non-coding RNA, 434 nt
Organism: Heterocephalus glaber (naked mole-rat)
Lineage: Eukaryota; Metazoa; Chordata; Mammalia; Rodentia; Bathyergidae
Source: Ensembl
ACAUGAACCAGCACGGUAGUUGGCAGACCAGUCUUUAUCCUACAUUGUCAGUAAUAUAGAUGAUUCAACCAACAACUUUGCAACUUUAUGAAGGUGCUGGAGUAAUGCAUUCAAUAGAAAUUUACCUAGAAUUUUGAUCUUCUUUCAGGUAUCCACAGGACUCACUGUGCAUCCCCACAGCUGUGUUUUCCCCUGCAGACCAGCCUGGGAGGGGCAUAUUCUUCCCUCCCGAUGCCCAGGUUGGUCUAAAUGCAAUCGAAAGGGAGUAAGAGAUGGAAGAGAAGAAAUAGAGGGAAGAGCAGGACUUGUGAAGUAGUGGAGCGAUGUAGCCACAGCUGAAGGAAGUGUGGAGCUACCGGAAAAGGCACCAGAGAUUCGCCAUCAGUGCCUCUGGAGGGAGUGAGGCUCUGUGAUGUCUGGAUUUCAGCCUUUUG